This 253-nucleotide ribosomal RNA is filed under the name uncultured bacterium. RNAcentral's name for it is "partial 16S ribosomal RNA". It matches the Rfam family "Bacterial small subunit ribosomal RNA", at positions 524 to 776 of the family's 1533-position model. The record is from RNAcentral.
UACGAAGGGGGCUAGCGUUGUUCGGAUUUACUGGGCGUAAAGCGCACGUAGGCGGAUCGUUAAGUCGGGGGUGAAAUCCUGGAGCUCAACUCCAGAACUGCCUUCGAUACUGGCGAUCUUGAGUCCGGAAGAGGUGGGUGGAACUCCUAGUGUAGAGGUGGAAUUCGUAGAUAUUAGGAAGAACACCAGUGGCGAAGGCGGCUCACUGGUCCGGUACUGACGCUGAGGUGCGAAAGCGUGGGGAGCGAACAGG